AGCCUUUGAAGUCAUGGCACCUAUAAUUUCCUAACUAUAAAAAGGUACCUUUGUGUGUGUGUGUGUCAUACCUGGAGGUGCCAGGAGUUCAGCCCCGCCCAGCCCCGCAGUGAGGAGGGGGUGCCUGGGCUGCACGGAGCCCUGGAUCUGGCAGGGAUCGAUUAGUGAUGGUUUAAAGGUGGUUUUCCUCUCCUCCCUGCACCUAAUAGCUUGUUUACCCAGGGAUAUUAGGGUGGUUAAUUCAUAUUUAUUAACAGGGAUCUAAUGUGGUUAAAAUAAUCAAGCUGACAUCUGCAGUGGUGGGAUGGGCCAGGAGCAGAACUCAGAAUGAGCUCACUGCCCCUGCCCAGCUCUCCUGGGGAAGCACAAACUUUAUAAAUGGUGGCCCAGCUGUCACAUUGCAGUGAGGAUCGUCCUCCCCAGCGUGUCCCAGACGCUGCAGUGCUCUCCCUGCUGCCCCAGCCCUUCACUGCUCAGCCACCGAGCCCGGGGACACGCCAGGGCCACGGUGACAAACGCAGCCCUGCCGAGGAGCAGUCUGGCUGUCAGUCGAGAUUAAAUCCUCUGUCAGCACAGAGCAGGAGGCACCCGGCUGAAGGAACCUCUCCCUCAGGUGUGAGAGCAGCAGGCACCACCGGGAUGGCAGGAGAACCCCCUUGGGCAUUUGCAGCCGGACGGAUGUGGGGUCCUGGGGUUCCCCCCACCACAGCUCUGCUCCCUGACAGCUGCUGCUGUGAUUUAUUGGAGAUUUCAGCUCCAAUCUGUCCGGGCAGUGGGGAUAUUUCAGUCCCUGGAGGCAGCAAGGGCCCCUUGGCCAGGUGGUCAUGGAGAAGGAGAGCAGCAGCUCCAGGACUGCAGGUGACCCCCCCAGAAAGGGACUGCAAGCACUGGAGGCUCCAUCCCUCCAUCCCCCUGCUCUGGAGGCUUUUCCACAACCUCUCUCUCCUGUUGAUCUUCACCUUUCCCGUCAUUUUCCAGCCUCAGUCUUUGUCCUGGCUAAUUUAUCCCCUUUUUUGUCCUUGUGCCAAUGUUGUCCUUUCACUCAGCCAGCUCAUCCCCUGCCUGUUGUUUACCCACCCCUGGCUGUUUGUGGGAGCCAUCAUUUCCCCGCUCAUGGAUAAACAGCCUGAGCUUGGAUGGUUUGCAGCUCCUCCCUGGCACCACUGCCAUGGGACAAAUCCUCAUUUCUGCAGCUCCAGCAGCAAAGGAGGUGAAUUUUGGGGUGGGAAGGGCCCUGGGAAGGGCAGUGUGGCAGCUCCUGCCAGCACCAGGGUGAGCCUGGCACACAGACUGGCACGAGGAGGAGAUGGGACACUCCGUGCUCAGAGCUUGGGAAGUUUCUUGGCUGGUAGUUUCUUGGUUUCUUGGCUCCUCAGCAGGACAAACAGGUUUGGUGGGUGGUGUGGAAAAGAAGGAGGGAUAAAAGAAUCCCAACCCAGCAGCUGUCAGUGUCCCCUGCUGUGUCCCCAGAGAUGUCCCCAUGACAUUUCUUUCUCCCAGGGCUUUCCAUGA
This 1512-nucleotide long non-coding RNA is filed under the name Junco hyemalis (dark-eyed junco). RNAcentral describes it as "lncRNA (ENSJHYG00000003157.1)". The record is from RNAcentral. Lineage: Eukaryota; Metazoa; Chordata; Aves; Passeriformes; Passerellidae.